AAGUAAGUAGAAAUUCAAAGAAUGUGUAUAGUAUCAGUGCAACAUCACACACACACGCGUGCGCGCGCACACACACACACAAGUUCUUACAGAACAACAGUUAACUGGAAGACAUAACUGCCUAGGGAAGGCAUAGCUGUCAAUUUUCUCCCUAAGUAUGUUCCUUUCUUUACAUGUGUCCAUGAAAAACUGGUCUGCAUGUGUGGAAGAGAGACAGUGUGUGUGUGAUGAAUUUUGGUCCUGUUUUAUUCAGAGAAUUCCCUCAUUUUCCUGUCUUUAGAUAAAAAAGAAGCAACUUUGCUGAUUCUGUUGUUCUUCAUGGAUCCACCACGGAGUGAUUCUUAACUUCUUUCCAACUUCUACGCUUUCUGCACAGAGCAGCUGUGACUAUUCUGACAGAUCCUUGGGACUAAUCAUUCAUUCUCCAGCCCUUCCAUCCUAGCAUACUGUGAACCCAGAUGAUUUAAUUCAGCCCAGCACUGUGUUCAGACAGCAAACUACACAUCCCAGCCUUCCUAGCAGCCGAAGGAGGCCAACAAAAUGGAAGCAGGGGUUGUUGUUGGAUUGGGUUCCCAGGGAACCUGGUGCAGCUAGGAGCUGGAAGCACAGAGGAUGCCCACGUCAUUGAACACAGGUAUCCAGCAUCUGGAAACCAGGCAUCCAAGAUGGCAGCAGGACUCAGUCUUCUGAUUGGGAGCCAAUUAAAAAGUCAAAGUAUUAUUCAUUUCCUUUACCAUACAAAAGAAAAUAAAGAGGUAUAGAGAAUGUUGAGUGGUUCCUUUGUGAGAGUACUGUUGGUGGGAAUUCCUUCUAUAGAAUGAGAGGGGAAUGUGGGAAGAAGAAGAAAAAGUUUCCUUAAAGAUGCAAAUCCUCAAUUUUUUCAUGUAUGUUUAGAUUUCCACAUCAGCAUUGGCCUCUUCUGUUUCUACUUCUUUAGCUGUCUUGUAGGAGAGGUAGACUGCAAUAAGUGGAGAGAUGGGUGUUUAAAUCCAGGGCCUUUGAUCUCAACAUGCAUUUCAGCUUUUCCUUUCCUUUGAUUUCAUUUUUGCUCUCAGAAGAAGCCAGAGGCAGGGAUGUAUUUCCCCAAAACAUGAAGGCACUUGUGCCAUUUUCCAGGGAACCUGCCCAGUAGUAGGGAUCUGGGAUGGCACAAAGUAGGGACAGUCUGUUAUGGCUCUGUCUCCCCAUAUUGGCUUCUACACGUGUGACUUCUAGACUACUUUGUGUAAAUCCUGAAAGAUGAACCAGAAAAUUAUUUUAGUAGAAAUGCAUGCAUUUUACAAUGAAUUAAGGGGAGGUAGUCAUGAUUUGCAAUGAGGAUUCAAUGCACUUCUCCAAAUGUCUCUCCCUUCUGUAGAAAGCUAAAUAAAUAAUGUUUCUGUCUAGAAAACGGAGGGUAC
Molecule: long non-coding RNA, 1400 nt
Filed under: Oryctolagus cuniculus (rabbit)
Lineage: Eukaryota; Metazoa; Chordata; Mammalia; Lagomorpha; Leporidae
Description: lncRNA (ENSOCUG00000037373.1)
Source: RNAcentral